This is an RNA transcript of Cucurbita moschata (crookneck pumpkin), 3526 nucleotides long. It is a transcript of the gene named zinc finger CCCH domain-containing protein 38, with no coding region annotated. Lineage: Eukaryota; Viridiplantae; Streptophyta; Magnoliopsida; Cucurbitales; Cucurbitaceae. The transcript has 7 exons. The record is from RefSeq and is a predicted model, not a curated record.
GUCUCAUCUCAACUUAUUAAAAAAACAUAUGGUUUAGGUGUUUUUGGAUGAAUAUAUAGGUGAGGACCAAGGGCGAUGGUGGACUGUGCAUCGUCUUGUAGACAGCCAGCAAUUGCUUUGCAGCAGCAACAAAAUUUGGACAUGGCUUCAAAUAUUCCGAGCCAGGUAUGACCGAGUGCCUUCUCUCCCCAACCCAGGUCUCUGCGCGCAUGCAUUUUAUUGUAUUGUCAUGUGUCAAGUUAUCACGUGUAGCCUACUUGCUUUGGAGGCAAAUUGGUGACGGUUGGUUCACAGGGGAAAAGGAAAGCGGGUCAGAUUUGUUGUUGUGUGGGAAGGAGAAAAAACACAACAGAACCCAUUGAAGACGAGACGAAGAUCAAAAUUUGGAGGUAACUACGAAUUAUGUUUAAGGAAAAAAGCAUCGCGAAAAGAUAAUUGGGUCUUUGAACCCUUUUUGCUCAUCGCCGACUUCCUCACUCUUCGUCUUCCUCCCACUCACUCUGCAAACAAGAUGCCCAAAACAUCCCUUAUGAAGAUUUAGCUUGGUUCUUGCCCAUAUUCUUCUUCAAUCAAAUUCUAGGGUUACACAAUCGCCGCUUUCUGCCAGAAGCCCUCUUCUUUCAUGAGAAAAUCCUUGAGAGUUAUGAGUGGAAGUGGCCGAAAACACUCGUCAAAGUGGGAUUUGAGAGAAGAUUCCCACUUUGAAGCUGAUAGUGUACAAGACCAUAGUUGGCCUGGAAAAGAAUCAGGACCUGGUUGGAUUUCUGCUGAAAUAGCGAGUGAUGAUGGUUCCAAGUGGUCUGGUAUGGCGACUACCAAUACCGUUUCGAAAUCUACGCAAGAUUGGGGAUUGCUGUCAGAGGAGGAACCUUUACCUGGAACCAGAGCUUCGCUUAAGGAGGAUCGCCCUAAUAAAGGCUAUAAUAAAAAUAUGGACGGCACUGCUGAAUGUGAUGCUGACAAAAGCUACGACACGAGAAUGUCCCCUGAUCUAGAUGGACGGAGAAGUCAUGGCUCUAACCUGUCUGAUAGAAAUGAUUGGAUCGGGUCAGUGAGGGGUAGGAGUAGAAGCCGCAGUUGGAGUAGAAGCCCUCCUCAUGGUAAUAAGCGGGACUCGGGAUUUCACGAUAGAAACAGAAAUAGAACACGUGUUUCUACUCAAUUGUGCAGAGAUUUUACUUCUGGAAGAUGCAGGCGAGGUAAUGGUUGUCAAUUUCUUCACCAGGACGAUCAAAAUCUGGACGAUAGCUUGGAAAAUAGGAACAGGAAGGGGGGCCGAUCCUUUAGAUCAACUUCCCAUGAUUUUAAGGACCAUCCCAGAAGUGGAAGAUCAGCUGCUCAUUGUACUGACUUCGUGAAGGGAAGGUGUCAUAGGGGAGCCUCUUGCACGUUUUCUCAUGACAGUGCAUUUCAUGAAUUAUCACGAGAUUCUCCAAAUGAUAUUAGUAGAGACAGGAAAAAUGAUCAGAGUAAAGAAGCGUACUUCUCACGUGGUGAGCGUGAACCUUGCAGUAGCAGUCUUGUUAUCUGUAAAUAUUUUGCUGCUGGAUCUUGUCGUAAUGGAAAAAAUUGCAAGUAUUCUCAUCAUAGCCAGCCACGUGCAAGUCCAGAGAGGAAGUCGAGUACUGAUAAAUGGGAACAUGCCCAAUGUUCAGAUGGUAGGGAACAGUCGUGGGAUGGCUUAAAAUCGAGUGAAUUGGCUAGUGGUUCGGAUUUCACUCAGUUGAUUGAGGACAAAAAAGAACAAACUGCUAGUGAAGAGCCAAGAUAUACAUGGCCUUCAGAUCAAAAAUGUGAUCAUGGUUUGAAUAAUGAGAGCAAAACUCGGUGGGAUCGAGCUGUUGAUAUCAAGACAGUGCGAAGCAACAAGAAUGAUGCCAUUCCGAGCAAGGCAGAGAAUGCUGGUGGUUGCACAGGCAGUUCUGACCCUAGAGGUCACAGAAAGUGGCCAAGUGAUGAUAUGGAGAUGUCUCCUGAUUGGCACUACCCUGUGCAACCAUCCAAUCAUGUAGUGAAAGGCGAUUGCAACGUUAUGCAAGAUUCUGGCUCUCAAACUUCCACGGCUUUAGCCAUUAGCCAUGCGAUAGUUCAAGAGGCUCUGGCUAAGAAUCAAGACAUUGCCAUAGAGCCCAUAGUAGUUGAUAUUACUCGUUUUCAGAAAAACCAAACUUUAACGAAAGAUGAUACUAUUGCAUCAGCAUCCAAUGAUAACAUUACAAUUGACAGAACAGCUGCUUCACAUGCUGAAGGCAAUCCUUCGGGUAACGUUGGCCUUGGACAAAGAAUGGCAUAUCACAGUGACCAUCCCGACGGAACUGUAACGAAUCCGAAAAUUUCAGAUGGAAAUUUCAGAGUCAAACUGCAGAAGAAGGAUGAAAGCAUGCCAGGAAUUAAUUCUGGAACAACUGUUACUCCGAACAUAGUAACGAACGAUCAAAUUAGGCAAAUAACUGACCUUUCAGCUUCUCUUGCACAAUAUUUUGGAAAUGCGCAACCAUUGCCUCAAUUGUAUGCCUCCCUUAAUACGCAUAGUGUGUCAGAAGCACCUUCAUUCCCUUAUUCGGACGCACCCAUGGGUGCUUUGGGGGCAUCGAUGAAGACAGCUCCUGUUAUUGAAUCCUCAAAGCAACAUGAUUCUGCUCUCUGCAAUAGCCUACAGCUGAAGAAAAUUGAAGUCACUAAAACACCACAGAAGAGCACUACAGAAGUGAAGGGUGAAGUACAGAUACCAAAUUUGCCUCUAUCAUCUGGUCCUUGUGGCAUCUCUGCUGAAGAAACUCUUCAUGGGAAGCCAACGGCUGAUGGUGAUGCUAUCAAAGAGAAGAAUGGUGAUGGCGAUAACGAGAACAAAACUGGCCCAGCAACAAAUGAGGACUCUCAAAAGAUUGAUACGACAGAAAAUGCAAAUGGAAACGAUGAGGUCCAUGAUAAGAAGAAGAGUAAGGAUACGAAGGGAAUUCGUGCUUUCAAAUUUGCACUUGUGGAGUUUGUCAAGGAACUUCUAAAACCUACAUGGAAGGAAGGUCAUAUCAGCAAAGAUGUUUAUAAAACCAUAGUCAAGAAAGUGGUGGACAAAGUCACAGGCUCCUUGCAGGAUGGUCAUAUUCCUCAAACGCAGGAGAAAAUCGAUCACUAUCUUUCGUUUUCGAAAUCAAAGCUCACAAAACUUGUUCAGGUUAUGCACAUACUCAAGAUUCAACUUGUAGCUACGAUAACAUUUUGACGGGCCAUUUUUGAGAUAUUUUCAUCAGGCUACGAAUGGCGUACGUGGACAGAGUUCAGAAGACGACCUGAGAAGGCAAGGUUAUCGAAGUAAAUUCUCGUGUUUUCAUUUUCAAAAAUCAUCGCCAUGUAUUAAUUUGUUAGAAUGCUGCUGAAUGAAAUAUGUCAUGUGUUACUAGUGUAGUGUAAUGUAUCUCCCAUUAGCAGCCUUCGGAAAUUUGUUGGUCUUCUAUUUUGUGCAUUCUUCAUCUUUUAUUGUUGAAUCAAUGGCUAUCACUUUUCAAUAGCCAUAGGCCUUGCAUUC